UACGUAGGUGGCAAGCGUUGUCCGGAAUUAUUGGGCGUAAAGCGCGCGCAGGUGGGAUGUUAAGUCUGCUGUAAAAGUGCGGGGCUCAACCCCGUGAAGCGACAGAUACUGGCAUUCUUGAGUGCAGGAGAGGAAAGCGGAAUUCCCAGUGUAGCGGUGAAAUGCGUAGAUAUUGGGAGGAACACCAGUGGCGAAGGCGGCUUUCUGGACUGUGUCUGACACUGAGGCGCGAAAGCUAGGGGAGCGAACG
Molecule: ribosomal RNA, 250 nt
Filed under: uncultured bacterium
Lineage: Bacteria
Description: partial 16S ribosomal RNA
Rfam family: Bacterial small subunit ribosomal RNA
Source: RNAcentral